GCGGGGAGCUUGUGGAACAGGCUGAGAGGAAGGUAUGACCUUCGACCCAUGAAACCUGAUAUGGAUAAUGCCAUCGCAGGGAAGUCUGGAAUU
This 93-nucleotide non-coding RNA is filed under the name pig gut metagenome. Its description in RNAcentral is "TPP riboswitch (THI element)". The stretch from base 2 to 82 matches the Rfam family "TPP riboswitch aptamer (THI element)", at positions 11 to 88 of the family's 105-position model. Rfam says of the family: Vitamin B(1) in its active form thiamin pyrophosphate (TPP) is an essential coenzyme that is synthesised by coupling of pyrimidine and thiazole moieties in bacteria. The previously detected thiamin-regulatory element, thi box was extended, resulting in a new, highly conserved RNA secondary structure, the THI element, which is widely distributed in eubacteria and also occurs in some archaea. Analysis of operon structures identified a large number of new candidate thiamin-regulated genes, mostly transporters, in various prokaryotic organisms. The record is from RNAcentral.